RNAcentral lists this long non-coding RNA (207 nucleotides) under Ananas comosus (pineapple). RNAcentral describes it as "long non-coding RNA (ACOM_LNC042524)". Lineage: Eukaryota; Viridiplantae; Streptophyta; Magnoliopsida; Poales; Bromeliaceae. The record is from RNAcentral.
CUUUGCGGCAGAUCAACAUCGACAACCUAAAAUCUUAGUUCGAUUUUCGAUUUAAAAUCAAAUUUUAAAAUUUGAUUUUAUAGUUGAAUUUUAAAUUAUUACUCAGAUUUAAAAUUCAGAAUUGAUGAAUUUCAAAUGAACACCUUUCACACUUAUAUUUUAAAUAUUACUUUUGACUUUUAAAUAUCAAAUAUCAAAUUUAAAAUU